RNAcentral lists this long non-coding RNA (557 nucleotides) under Apteryx owenii (little spotted kiwi). Its description in RNAcentral is "lncRNA (ENSAOWG00000004882.1)". The record is from RNAcentral. Lineage: Eukaryota; Metazoa; Chordata; Aves; Apterygiformes; Apterygidae.
CCACAGAUGUUCCAAGAAAGAUGGUGGGGAUAACAGUAAGCAGAAUUUGGCAUCUGUUGAGAAACUUUGUUUGAGAAGAGAGCUGUUUGCAAGACUCAAGUUUACAGGGAAAGGUGUGAACCUCAUAGACACAUCAUUGUAGACAUGUCCAAGGCCAUGGAUUGUUAUCCAGAAGGUGUCCAGUAUCCUUUGUCUGUUGAGCUGGCAAUGGGAAAUAGGUGGGGUAUAGCAACUACAGAAACUACCUGGCUUUGUCCCCUGGAGUGUAUCCUGCAGAGCAUUCAGGGCUUGACUUCACCAGAAAUGCUCGGCGAAGCAGUGGAACUGAGACAGAAGCUCGGAGCUGCCAGGUCACCUUGGGCAACCUUCUCAAACCAGGGACCUUUCUUCCCUUGCCAGCCUUAGCGGGUGUGGCUGCCUGAGAAGUACUUCACUCCCUGUUACGCCACAGCUAAUGAUUUGCAUGCGAGGUUGAAAUAUUAUAUUGGAAUUUACUGUUUGAUCUUUUUGAGCUUGGAUGAAAUAAAUGACUCAUUGUUCAGUUCUAAUUAUUUUGU